GGAAGUAAAAAUCGUAACAAGGUUUCCGUAGGUGAACCUGCGGAAGGAUCAUUACCGAGUGAGGGCCCUCUGGGUCCAACCUCCCACCCGUGUUUAUUUUACCUUGUUGCUUCGGCGGGCCCGCCUUAACUGGCCGCCGGGGGGCUUACGCCCCCGGGCCCGCGCCCGCCGAAGACACCCUCGAACUCUGUCCGAAGAUUGUAGUCUGAGUGAAAAUAUAAAUUAUUUAAAACUUUCAACAACGGAUCUCUUGGUUCCGGCAUCGAUGAAGAACGCAGCGAAAUGCGAUACGUAAUGUGAAUUGCAAAUUCAGUGAAUCAUCGAGUCUUUGAACGCACAUUGCGCCCCCUGGUAUUCCGGGGGGCAUGCCUGUCCGAGCGUCAUUGCUGCCCUCAAGCACGGCUUGUGUGUUGGGCCCCGUCCUCCGAUCCCGGGGGACGGGCCCGAAAGGCAGCGGCGGCACCGCGUCCGGUCCUCGAGCGUAUGGGGCUUUGUCACCCGCUCUGUAGGCCCGGCCGGCGCUUGCCGAUCAACCCAAAUUUUUAUCCAGGUUGACCUCGGAUCAGGUAGGGAUACCCGCUGAACUUAAGCAUAUCAAUAAGCGGAGGAAAAGAAACCAACAGGGAUUGCCCCAGUAACGGCGAGUGAAGCGGCAAGAGCUCAAAUUUGAAAGCUGGCUCCUUCGGGGUCCGCAUUGUAAUUUGUAGAGGAUGCUUCGGGAGCGGUCCCCAUCUAAGUGCCCUGGAACGGGACGUCAUAGAGGGUGAGAAUCCCGUAUGGGAUGGGGUGUCCGCGCCCGUGUGAAGCUCCUUCGACGAGUCGAGUUGUUUGGGAAUGCAGCUCUAAAUGGGUGGUAAAUUUCAUCUAAAGCUAAAUAUUGGCCGGAGACCGAUAGCGCACAAGUAGAGUGAUCGAAAGAUGAAAAGCACUUUGAAAAGAGAGUUAAAAAGCACGUGAAAUUGUUGAAAAGGAAAGCGCUUGCGACCAGACUCGCUCGCGGGGUUCAGCCGGCAUUCGUGCCGGUGUACUUCCCCGCGGGGGGGGCCACCGUCUGGUUUGGGCCGGUCGGUCAAAGGCCCUCCGGAAGGUAACGCUCCUAAGGGGCGGC
Molecule: small RNA, 1108 nt
Filed under: Penicillium parvifructum
Lineage: Eukaryota; Fungi; Ascomycota; Eurotiomycetes; Eurotiales; Aspergillaceae
Description: eukaryotic LSU rRNA
Rfam family: Eukaryotic large subunit ribosomal RNA (bases 553-1108)
Source: RNAcentral